Non-coding RNA from Vigna umbellata (rice bean), 654 nucleotides. The record is from RefSeq and is a predicted model, not a curated record. Lineage: Eukaryota; Viridiplantae; Streptophyta; Magnoliopsida; Fabales; Fabaceae.
ACAAGUAGAUGCUUCAACAAAGCGAGUGUGCGUAUGUUUCAAUUUAUCAACAUAAUCAAUGGAACCAAUGAUUUUGUUCCUAUACACAUCUUCCACUUUUGCAUGAAAGCAAAGGGAGAAAGAAAAAUGUAAUCUCUACAAAAUUGUUUGUUUGAACUAGAUACUAUCAUGUGUGUCGGUGUCUCAGACGUAUUCAAGUGAGAACCGACAUGAUAUUUAAGAAGACAUCUUCUUUGCAAGGAAUUGUAAGACCACCCAUUGGAUGAUGGUACCCAUAUUCUUCCACUGCUUUGCUUAGCAAGUCCUGGAACGAGGGUUGAUUUAAGCAUCCAAUCGGAAUCACGAACCUCUUCUUUUUCUCUCCGACAUACACUGCAAGGGUACUGAAAACUUAUAUUCAGUGGUUGCAUUUGUACAAUGCCAUUCAUUGUGAUAACAGCUUGCAUGACAAGUCCUCGCCAACAGCACGGAAGGUACUUAAGAUUGAACUCUCCAUCAGCACCUCAGAGUUUACUACGGAACAAGUACAAAGCAACAUACAAUUUAAUUGCAGACUGAGACAUUGUUUGUUGCAUUUGUAUAUUCCUCUAUUGUCAUUGUUGUGUGUAUUUGGAUGAAGUAUUGGAAUAAUGGAAUAUACCUUCAGUUUCACUC